AGAUCUUAAGUAGACGUAGUGCGGUCGAGAAUCGGGUCAGGGAGGGUUCACAUAUAGUCGAGUGGGUCAAAAGGAAGUGGUUGCAUUGUUGAAGACACUGAGGUUAUUGCUUCAUCGAGUACAACACUCCUCAGGAAGCUGAGCUUGCCAAUGAGAAGGUACAAGCUAGACAGAGCACACAAUUUUGAUGUCAACAUGUUUGAUGAAAUCGACAGAUUCAUGAAAGUCCCAGACGAGUGGGGUCCACCUUAUACACCAGGGCUAGCUGAAGGAAUUGCCGGAAUUCAACACAACCCCUUCUACAUGCAUCGCGC
Long non-coding RNA from Helianthus annuus (common sunflower), 314 nucleotides. RefSeq lists it as uncharacterized. The record is from RefSeq and is a predicted model, not a curated record. The transcript is spliced from 3 exons. Lineage: Eukaryota; Viridiplantae; Streptophyta; Magnoliopsida; Asterales; Asteraceae.